AUGAAAAGGAGAAAAUCUGGUGAAGGCACAUGGUGUCUUUGCGAAAAUUGUGGAUCAAUAUUAUUUUAUACUAAUUUAGAAUUACAUCAAAAAGAGUUCUGCCCACCCUCUGCAGAGCUUUGGAAACAUCCUUUCAUUCUUGACUCCGUCAUAUACUCCUCUCUUGACACUCUUGAUGAUGAUGCUUACAAUUAUGUUCAUAUAUCAGAGGCAAUGAUCCGGCUUAAUAAAUUGGUGAUCGGUGAAGCAGUACUCUUGAUUCAAAACAAACAAGUUGUGAUAAAACUUGUCCGCCAGUCAUUAGUACCUCAAAAUCAGAACUUCAAAAUAUUCAUCGCUGAGGAAGAGCUGAAAAAUAUCUCUUUUGAGAGGGGACCAGUGAAGGUUAAGAAAAUUGAUCGCUUACCGCCACCAGCCAAAGAACUAGUGUUUUCAAUUGCUGACGGUGCAGUGAAUCAUGAAAAAUCAUGGAAUACUUGGCACAAAAUUAUCGAAAUCACUACUUCAAGAAUGGCUCAAAACUUUACUUCACAUUUUACGGAACAAAGCUCACAGCCAUCGUGGAUUCAGCUGUUAAACAUUUUGAUGGGAAUGAUGUAGCUGUAAAUUUUAGCUAUUUGUCAUUGGAAGACGACAGUGUUGCCUCUGGCAACUUUGUUCAAAGUUGUGAAUCUACCAAAUGGACAUUAUUGGGCAGCUCCUCACAGACAGAAUCAACUGGGGAGAAGGAUGUCUUCAUGUUAUCCAAAAUUGGAGGUCUUAGAAAUGUUAUCAGUCAGCUGCAAGAUAUGAUCAAGCUGUGUCUUUCCUCAAAAGAUGUUGGUAAGUGUUCUAUCCGCAGAACUGUCAUCCUGUCAAGGGCUGUUCAUCUCAGGAAAUAGCCAGGGUGUAUGAACUUCCAAAACCCAGGUCAUUUCUUGUGAUCAGGCAUUUUUGCCAUGUAGCCCAAUUUCUGAAUCACUGUCCGAUUUCUUUAAAACUAUCUACAAAAUUUCCUUUUCCUAAAGUGAUGAGGGAGAAGAAUUAUUAUCACUUUUGCCCAA
RNAcentral lists this long non-coding RNA (1043 nucleotides) under Bemisia tabaci. RNAcentral describes it as "lncRNA ENSSSA2NGG010911". The record is from RNAcentral. Lineage: Eukaryota; Metazoa; Arthropoda; Insecta; Hemiptera; Aleyrodidae.